GGGGGUGAUUGGCUUCGACGCUGAUUGCGAAACUCCGGGAGCAUGCCGAGGUGUAGAAUUCCUCGUAAAUCCGUCUACACAACAAUAGUUGCCAACGACGACAACUACGCGCUAGCCGCUUAAACGGACUAGCCCUUUCGCCGGUUCUGCCUGUAGGGUCGGAUUUGAAGGGUCAAACCAUACAGGAUCGCUCGCCGGUUGUGCCUGUUAACCGGCUGCUAAAGGCAAGCAGGCUCGCCUUGUCAUUUGGGCUGUCCGACGACUGGAUGCAAGGCUAAAUUAAUGUUCGGACUAAGCAUGUAGCCGCCUGUAGCGUAGAAUUUGCGGACGCGGGUUCGAUCCCCGCCACCUCCACCA
RNAcentral lists this transfer-messenger RNA (357 nucleotides) under Gammaproteobacteria bacterium. It matches the Rfam family "transfer-messenger RNA". Rfam says of the family: Bacterial tmRNA, also known as 10Sa RNA or SsrA, is named for its dual tRNA and mRNA-like properties. Its role is to liberate the mRNA from a stalled ribosome. Lineage: Bacteria; Pseudomonadati; Pseudomonadota; Gammaproteobacteria. The record is from RNAcentral.